RNAcentral lists this ribosomal RNA (660 nucleotides) under Rhodotorula sphaerocarpa. RNAcentral's name for it is "LSU rRNA". It matches the Rfam family "Eukaryotic large subunit ribosomal RNA", at positions 1 to 642 of the family's 3401-position model. The record is from RNAcentral. Lineage: Eukaryota; Fungi; Basidiomycota; Microbotryomycetes; Sporidiobolales; Sporidiobolaceae.
AAGCUUCUAAUCCUAAUGUCUAUAUUUUAAGAUUAGAUCUCAAAUCAGGUAGGACUACCCGCUGAACUUAAGCAUAUCAAUAAGCGGAGGAAAAGAAACUAACAAGGAUUCCCCUAGUAGCGGCGAGCGAAGCGGGAAGAGCUCAAAUUUAUAAUCUGGCACCUUCGGUGUCCGAGUUGUAAUCUCUAGAAGUGUUUUCCGCGUUGGACCGCGCAUAAGUCUGUUGGAAUACAGCGGCACAGUGGUGAGACCCCCGUAUGUGGUGCGGACGCCCAGCGCUUUGUGAUACACUUUCGAAGAGUCGAGUUGUUUGGGAAUGCAGCUCAAAUUGGGUGGUAAAUUCCAUCUAAAGCUAAAUAUUGGCGAGAGACCGAUAGCGAACAAGUACCGUGAGGGAAAGAUGAAAAGCACUUUGGAAAGAGAGUUAACAGUACGUGAAAUUGUUGGAAGGGAAACGCUUGAAGUCAGACUUGCUUGCCGGGCAACCGGUUUGCAGGCCAGCAUCAGUUUUCCGGGGUGGAUAAUGGUAGAGAGAAGGUAGCAGUUUCGGCUGUGUUAUAGCUCUCUACUGGAUACACCUUGGGGGACUGAGGAACGCAGUGUGCCUUACGGCGGAGGUUUCGACCUCUUCACACUUAGGAUGCUGGUGGAAUGGCUUUA